Molecule: ribosomal RNA, 253 nt
Filed under: uncultured bacterium
Lineage: Bacteria
Description: partial 16S ribosomal RNA
Rfam family: Bacterial small subunit ribosomal RNA
Source: RNAcentral
UACGUAUGGUGCAAGCGUUAUCCGGAUUUACUGGGUGUAAAGGGAGCGCAGGCGGCACGGCAAGCCUGAUGUGAAAGCCCGCGGCCCAACCGCGGGACUGCAUUGGGAACUACCGGGCUGGAGUGCCGGAGAGGUAGGCGGAAUUCCUAGUGUAGCGGUGAAAUGCGUAGAUAUUAGGAGGAACACCAGUGGCGAAGGCGGCCUACUGGACGAUGACUGACGCUGAGGCUCGAAAGCGUGGGGAGCAAACAGG